RNAcentral lists this ribosomal RNA (768 nucleotides) under uncultured bacterium. RNAcentral describes it as "bacterial SSU rRNA". It matches the Rfam family "Bacterial small subunit ribosomal RNA", at positions 11 to 795 of the family's 1533-position model. The record is from RNAcentral.
GUUUGAUCCUGGCUCAGAGCGAACGCUGGCGGCACGCCUAACACAUGCAAGUCGAGCGAGAAAGCGGCUUCGGUCGCGAGUAAAGCGGCGGACGGGUGAGUACAACGUGGGUAAUCUACCCGAAGGUUCGGGACAACUCCGAGAAAUCGGGGCUAAUACCGGAUAAGACCACGGUAUCCGCGGAUACAGAGGUAAAAGAUUCAUCGCCUUCGGAUGAGUCCACGCCCCAUCAGGUAGUUGGUAAGGUAAAGGCUUACCAAGCCUAAGACGGGUAGCCGGCCUUAGCAGGUGAACGGCCACAUGGGAACUGAGACACGGUCCUGACUCCUACGGGAGGCAGCAGUGGGGAAUAUUGGGCAAUGGGCGAAAGCCUGACCCAGCGAUGCCGCGUGAGGGAUGAAGGCCUUCGGGUUGUAAACCUCUGUCAGGAGGGACGAUGGGACUUCGGUCUUGACUGUACCUCCAGAGGAAGCCCCGGCUAACUCCGUGCCAGCAGCCGCGGUAAUACGGAGGGGGCAAGCGUUGCUCGGAAUUACUGGGCGUAAAGGGUCCGCAGGCUGUCGGACAAGUUGGGUGUGAAAGCUCAGGGCUUACCCCNUGGAUUGCAUCCAAAACUGUCUGACUAGAGUCCGAGAGAGGUUGGCGGAUUCCCGGUGUAGCGGUGAAANUGCAUAGAUAUCGGAGGAACACCCAGAGCGAAGCNGCCCUACUGCUCGCACUGACGCUCAGGACGAAGCGUGGUAGCAACCGGAUAGAUACCCUGUAGUC